UUAAUCGAGGGAUUGCUCGUUAACCGAAGUUAAGAAUCUUAUGGAAGGUAACUCGUUAACCGAGGCGCUCGUUAACCGAGGGACCACUGUACUGUACUGUACUGUACUGUAAGACAAUGUGGCCUGGUGGUUCUCUUGAUCAUAGCAGAUCCCGGGAUAUUCCUUGACCACUGUUUAGUUACACUCUACAGUACUGUAUAUGUCUUGUAUUUUAAAAAGACUUAUAAUGGAUGUUGGAUAUCCCCCCCAUCAACUUGGAGCAGGUGCACAGGUCCCCACAGAGAGCAUAGAACAAUUGUCAUGUGUACCUUUUGGAGCUACAGUCAAACCUCUACUUAAUGGACUACUACAGUAUAUAGAGAUGACAAUCCAUUUUAACGAGGGUCUGUUAAAUGUGAAACCUCCCUCUAACAGAUUUACACGUUAUAUAGAGGUCAUACUGUAUGGUUGAGAGCCCCAGACUUCCUUCUGAUAUGAAACAGCAAACUCUUAAAGUGUAAUACAUUAUAAGGGCCUUACUGUAUGUCACACUAAGGUUCUGAAACACCAGCUUAUCUACAACACUGUCUCUGGAUAAGCAGGUUACUCAUAGAUCAGGACCAUGAGUUUGCAGUUUACAAAUACAGUUCAGUACAAUGGCUGUUAUUUUCCAUCAUAUGACUUACUAUUGUCUAAUGAAAAAGAUUAAAACCAGUGUCAAGUUUAUUUGUUGUACAAGACACUAAGAGAGUGUGUUAGUUAAGACACAAGACCAGUAUAUGCCAAGGUCGUGUAUUUUUUAAGUCUGGCUUGUGAUGUAUAUACAGUACAGUACAGAGCACUACACUACACUACACUACACUAUAGUAUAUGGUUGAUGGAAUUACACUAUUUUCCUCCUUUUUGUUGUAGUCGUAAAUGGUUGUUUUCUUUCCUUCAUAAGCUCUCUGGCUUCUCUUCUGCCUCAGUUAUGUCAACUUCAUGUUUGGAUUAUUAAAGCAACUCAGUUUAUCAAGCUUUUUGUGGUGUUUAGGUCAGUUUUAGGCUGGGUGAUGGUUCAACUGGUUUUGUAGUGGGGAAUUAAUGGUUCACUUUCUGUUCCUUGUGAAUUCUUUACUUUCUCAUUGACCAGCUUGGGGUGUAUCUGGCUGUGACGCCCGCCUUUUCCACUGAUUAUUGGGGCACCACACAUUAAUGGCUUCUUCUCUCCUUGAGGAUCAUACCACUGAAUAAGUGUAUUGGGUAGUGAGUGCCACCCUCCCUACCCAAUAUUUACAUAUAUGGUGCUGUACUCUAUCUAUAAAUGGAUCAACUCUCAUAGGUUCACUUCUGCUUAUCCCUAGGAAGGAACAUUUGUAGCGCCACCUUGGCCCUCUCAUCUAGCUAAAGGGUGUAUGCUACAAGUGAGGACUUGAAACUGAAUUUUUAAUUUAUAGCAGAAGCCCAGAGCCAGGUUCAUGAUUACUCAGCAAUGCAUAAAACUUCAAAAUGGCAGAAUGAUUGAUGGAGAGAUGGCGGAGCAACAGCCAAGGCACAGAGCAGUAUAGGGUAGUCACAACUGUAGGUGACCUUCAGCUUCUUGGGGCAACCUUUACACUUAAUUUUCCUUAGUUGAUGCUGAGGAAUAUGACCUUAAAAAAGGUUAAUGUAUCAGACCUACUGCCAGGUACACAACAGUACUGUACUGUAUGUGGUCAUAACCUUGAAGAAGGCAAGCAUAGUACAGUACUGUACUGUAUGUGGUCAUAACCUUGAAGAAGGCAAGCAUAGUACAUUACUGUACUGUAUGUGGUCAUAACCUUGAAGAAGGCAAGCAUAGUACAGUACUGUACUGUAUGUGGUCAUAACCUUGAAGAAGGCAAGCAUAGUACAGUACUGUACUGUAUGUGGUCAUAACCUUGAAGAAGGCAAGCAUAGUACAUUACUGUACUGUAUGUGGUCAUAACCUUGAAGAAGGCAAGCAUAGUACAGUACUGUACUGUAUGUGGUCAUAACCUUGAAGAAGGCAAGCAUAGUACAGUACUGUACUGUAUGUGGUCAUAACCUUGAAGAAGGCAAGCAUAGUACAUUACUGUACUGUAAUGACAGUUGUCUGUGGCUAUUGCUUCAUAAUAGCAUUUCAGGGUUGAUUCCUCCUCUAGUAGGUUGACAGUAAGAGCAGCAUUAUCAUAUGAUACUUAAUAUUUUUUUCUUUCUUAGAAAUCCAGAAGAAACAAUUUGAGGAGUAGAAGUUAAUCAUGGUGAAUGUGUUGUAUACUUCUUUUACCUGCUGGUGAUCUCUCAAGUAGUGAAUAUGAAUCUUCCUAAGGAAAUAGUUAUUAUAAGUUUUAAUCUUGUGUAGGGAAUCUUAGUAUAAGACUACCGGUACUCUACUCUGCUGCCAGUCUUGUAAACAAAAUAAUUAUUGAUGCUAUGUAUGGAUUAACUUUUUAUUUCAAAUAGACUGCUUAUUGGAUACUGUACUGUACAUUCAUAUAGAAAUACUUGAUAAAUGCUUCUGUAUGUGCCAUGUUAGCUAUGUUGCAGUAGUACUGUACAAUGUACUCGUACACCUUGGUUAUCCUGCACUGGUAGAGUGAGAUAACUGCUGCUGGUUUGGUGAACUGAUCCUGGCCACUCUCCUACCUCAAAAUCAUGAGUCAUUUCCGUUAUGUUCCCUGUAAUUUGAAUUUACUGCUUUACUGGGGGAAGGAAGCCAGUGGCUCUGGUAACCCAUCCAGGCAUGAAAGUGGUCGUUCCUGAUGCGUUUGUCUUUCAGUAGUUGUGGACUAGUGUUUGUACAGGAGAAAACUAGAUUUGUGUUAGGAUCAAUGAGGUACGGUACAGUAUAUAUAAUACAGUUGUGCACAGUUAUUAAGUAGAAUUUCUUCGCCAAAGUGAUAAACAGAAUAACUGCCAACAUUCAGUAAACAAAUCAAGAGUAACCCAUCUGUAACAGUACAGAAGACAAACUAAACUCUUAUUACACUUUUUCCUCCUAAAUAAUAUAUUGUACAGCUACAACACAAAGCUGGAUAACAGUUCAGUACACUACACUACAACAGUACAGUACAAUAUAUUAAUAAAGGGAAAUGAAAUAUCUUCAAAUAGUGUGAAAUUCAGGUCCAAUAUAUAAAUUAUUAAUCUUUUUCAAAAUGCACAAGCAAUGCAGUUGCCUGCAGUCAGGUCUAAAACUUGCCUUUGAAUCUCCAACCAGUUUUGUGUCAUAGUGAAACCGCAUGUCUCUUUAUUCUGCACUGUAUUAGUUUGUUAUACACAUUUAAAACAAAUGUACACAAAAUUAUCUGAACUUGGAAAAAAUUCAUUAAUGGAGGAAUUGUGCUCAAAUAUCUUCCAAAUUAGGUGAUUUUUGGUGAAGAAUUACUGUAGUUGUUAGUGAUAACUCACAGCAGUACAGGUAUCCCCCUCUUUAUGACUAUACACUCUAACGUUAAUUACAUUUUAACAUCCUCUCGCUGUUUAUGUUUUAGGCAAAAUCCACGUUAACGGUAGUUAGUGUCGGGCUAAACUCGUGGCCGGUACAGUAUUCACUUCUCCAUCCUCCACGCAGUUCACCGAGCCGCACGCUGCCACCGUGGGAACUACGGUCCCGCGCUUUCCUUCAACGUGAUCGCAUCUGCCCUCGCUCGCGUAACAAACGUUAUUGAUAUUAAGCGUUGCAUAUCCCGUGAUUGCUGAUAUAUUUUGCCGUUAUUAGUCAGAAUAAAACGUUAUCAUUCAGAUUUUACUCUUGUUUUGGUGACUGUGAAGUGAUCAGUGUACAGUAACUCUGUAACUUUAAAAAUGGCUGGCAAGUGUCCUGCUGACUCUCCCGCCUCUGGUAAAUGCUAGGCACCAGACUUAUUAUUAGUGUUUAAUUUUGUUUUUUCCAGUAUUCCUUUAAUUAGUGUAGUAUCAUUUUUCUAGGAUACAUGUCUGCAUCAGACAGGCCAGGAACAUAUCCCAUUGAAACCUAUGUUAAUAAGAUCCCAAUUUUUAUUAAUUCGGUUUAUGUUAAGAGUUUUCAGGAAUGCAAUCCUAUCAUAAAUAAGGGAAUACCUGUAUGUGUAUAAGUAUCAUGAAAUAUUAAAACAAACAAGUUUCACUACUUGUAAACAUGACUCCAUGAAGGGAUCAGCAGGUCCACACACACACACACACACUCUUGUUAUUGUUUAUUACAUUAUUUGUGAAUUUACUGGAUCAAAAUAGUUUUCUGUAAAAAGGUUAGUGUCACCUGGACCAAUAAUGCUCUUCAUUCUUUCUGUAGUUCUAAAAUAUAAUUUUUCUUCUGGAUUUCUGAAACUUUGAGGUUUUUAUGUAAAUGAAACACUGCAGUGGAAUAUAUAUAAAUGUACUGUACACAGAUAUAGCUUACUGUGUUGUGUGGCAGAAGACAUGUAUUAAUAAGUGCAGUACAGUAUUGGGUGAUUGAGAAAGAAAGUUGUGGAAGCCAACAACUUAAUGUUUGGUUGAUAAUGCAGUUUAUAAACAGAGAGAAAUACAGUACAAUAUUUUAUCUGUUGGUUAGAUUUGCUAAAUUGUUAAAUACUAAUGGUGGGGUGGCUACUGCUUAAUGAUUGGGAGGUUUACUCUGAGAGUAGUAAGGUGCCAUACUGCUUAAUGAUUGGGAGGUUUACUCUGAGAGUAGUAAGGUGCCAUACUGCUUAAUGAUUGGGAGGUUUACUCUGAGAGUAGUAAGGUGCCAUACUGCUUAAUGAUUGGGAGGUUUACCCUGAGAGUAGUAAGGUGCCAUACUGCUUAAUGAUUGGGAGGUUUACUCUGAGAGGAAUAAAAGCUGCCUAUGUAAUGUACAAUACUGUACUGUAUUGUGUCUGAAAUGUAUGAUAUUCGUUCAAAAUUGUUACAGGUAUUUUUAAGGUUCAGUACAGUACUCAUUUAUAUGUGUAAAACUUAAUGAUAAUUUUAACAGUCAGAGAAGGAAGUAAUAUUCCCCAAAACUUAACUAUUUUUAUUUUAAAUAGUUAGCAAUAUGUCACAAGCGAUAGCUUUAGUUUUACGUAAAAAAAUAUCUAGCUGUAAUAAGUUGGAAUUUUGCUUUACUACAAACUUUUCUUAAUUUCACAAAUGUUGGAGUAAGUUUUUCCUUUUGUAUGUGUAGUACAGUGGGUGUGCUGUGCUGUGCUGUGUUAUGUUGGUUUUCAGUUUCUUGAUUAUGAACAAAUAUGAACGACGCCGAUUGUUUGAAUUUAAACUUGUGGUGCACGAGUUUAUUACGUGUAUGUCUUCAGGUUUCGGGAUACACUAUAGCCUUGUGCCUACUGAACUGCACAACAAUUAAAACACGUCAUUUACUGUGUGCUGCCGGUGAGAAUUAAUAAAAUCAUAUUCUGUAUUAUACAUUUUGGUCUGUUUUGUGUCCAUAAAUUAUUAUCCUCUUCUAUUAUUUGGUUACUACUGUAUAUGAGACUCUUGUUUUAUCCAUUAGUUUGAAGUCUGCAGCACACCUACAAGUCCACUGUUUCACUUCAAUACUCUUUUGUUUAUGCUAAAUAUUAUAUUCAUUAUGUAUUUUGAUUUUGUAAUACUGUACUGUUCUAUUAAUUCAGGAUGUGGGCUACAGUCGUCACACACAUACUCCACACGGUUCUGUAAUGGAAAGUGUGAAUGAGAAGAAAGUGUCUACAUAAUUAAUUCUGUGAUGUAUUACCCACUGGUUGCUAUUGCAGUCAUGUCAUGUGAGGUCUGUUCCAGUGUGAUUAUUGUAAAGAAUGUCAGAACAAGAGGUGGGUACAGGUGCUCCUUCUAAGAUGGCAAAAUUAUGUAGUCGGUGCUCCUGCAGAAGAACUAAGCCCCCUCUCCCAUGACACACACAAACACAAACACACGUUCCUAUGCUUUGAUUUUACCGUGAUUUUUUAAGGUAUGACCAAAAGUAAUAGAUAAAAAUAAGUUUCAAGUUAGGCGUGGGAUCACAUAUUCAUUUUGCCGGAUAUGAAUUAUUGCACCUUAAGUAUUUAUUCAUCCUGCCACUUGAAGUCUCUCUUAGCAUCAUAUUGUGGCAUUAGUUCAUAACAGUUUGUUAGUGUUCACAGUUGACCAAUCCCAUAAAUGGUCAUGCUAGCGGGCAGUUACUCGUGCCCUUGUUAAUCACCGUGUGUAAAUACUUGUGAUUUAGCCCUACACUCAUCUGCUCGGUGCAAGGGACUUUUAAUAUCUAUUGUGCGAGAGAGUAAGUAGUAACUAGAUCAUUUUUGACAUAGACAAAUUUAUUACAAUAUUGUAAGUCAUGUAUGUAAAUAUAUCUGUAAAUAAAACAUUAUACAAAAGUA
This is a long non-coding RNA of Homarus americanus (American lobster), 6251 nucleotides long. RefSeq lists it as uncharacterized. The record is from RefSeq and is a predicted model, not a curated record. Lineage: Eukaryota; Metazoa; Arthropoda; Malacostraca; Decapoda; Nephropidae. The transcript has 2 exons.